This 571-nucleotide ribosomal RNA is filed under the name Amolops deng. RNAcentral's name for it is "partial large subunit ribosomal RNA". It matches the Rfam family "Bacterial large subunit ribosomal RNA", at positions 1797 to 2595 of the family's 2925-position model. Lineage: Eukaryota; Metazoa; Chordata; Amphibia; Anura; Ranidae. The record is from RNAcentral.
CGCCUGUUUAUCAAAAACAUCGCCUCUUGCCUAAAUAUAAGAGGUCCAGCCUGCCCAGUGACAUAGUUUAACGGCCGCGGUACCCUAACCGUGCAAAGGUAGCAUAAUCACUUGUUCCCUAAAUAGGGACUCGUAUCAACGGCAUCACGAGGGCUGUACUGUCUCCUUUCUCCAAUCAGUGAAACUGAUCUCCCCGUGAAGAAGCGGGGAUAAACCUAUAAGACGAGAAGACCCCAUGGAGCUUUAAACCCAUCACACACCUCUACGCACUCAAAUCAAUAUAGCCUAAGAGGCUUGUGUGCUGGUUUUAGGUUGGGGGGACCGCGGAGUAAAAUUAAACCUCCACGACAGACGGGCUAAUACCCUUAUCCAUGAACCACAAUUCUAAGAGCCAAUAAAUUGUUGUCUAUGACCCAAUUACUUGAUCAACGAACCAAGUUACCCUGGGGAUAACAGCGCAAUCUACUUCAAGAGCCCCUAUCGACAAGUAGGUUUACGACCUCGAUGUUGGAUCAGGGUAUCCUAGUGGUGCAGCCGCUACUAAAGGUUCGUUUGUUCAACGAUUAAAACC